Molecule: ribosomal RNA, 319 nt
Filed under: uncultured bacterium
Lineage: Bacteria
Description: bacterial SSU rRNA
Rfam family: Bacterial small subunit ribosomal RNA
Source: RNAcentral
AUUGAACGCUGGCGGCAUGCCUUACACAUGCAAGUCGAACGGCAGCACGGGAGCAAUCCUGGUGGCGAGUGGCGAACGGGUGAGUAAUAUAUCGGAACGUGCCCAGUCGUGGGGAUAACGUAGCGAAAGCUACGCUAAUACCGCAUACGAUCUAUGGAUGAAAGCGGGGGGAUCGCAGACCUCGCGCGAUUGGAGCGGCCGAUAUCAGAUUAGGUAGUUGGUGAGGUAAAGGGCUCACCAAGCCGACGAUCUGUAGCUGGUCUGAGAGGACGACCAGCCACACUGGGACUGAGACACGGCCCAGACUCCUACGGGAGGC